UCUCUCUCUCUCUCUCUCUCUCUGUGAUUGAAAUUAGAAAAGAAUACUUUUCAGCGCGGUAUUGUGCCCUGUUUACGCUCCGUUUUGAGCCUAGCCAACCAACACUUUAACAGAGCUUUUGAGGAUAAGACUUAAAUUAUCGCAGCCAGAAAUGAGUGAUUCUCAUACACCCCCACAUGGCCAGCAAACCAUGAAACCCCAGCAACAGCAACAUAUGCAGAGACGGCUCUGCGAUUACUGUAACGAUACCACUGCUCUCCUCUAUUGCAGAGCUGACUCAGCCAAGCUUUGUAUCUCAUGUGACCGUGAAGUUCACUCCACAAACCAGCUCUUCUGCAAGCAUACUCGCUCUCUUCUAUGUGACGCCUGCGACAAGUCCCCUGCUUCUAUCUUUUGUGAAACUGAGCACUACGUUUUCUGCCAAAACUGUGACUGGGAAAGGCACCGUCUUUCAUCGUCCGUGCACAAUCGGAGGCCUAUUGAGGGGUUUAGUGGGUGUCGUUCAUUGAGUGAGUUGAUCAGUAUUUUAGGCUUUGAAGAUCUUGGUGAUAAGAAACCUCUGUUUUUAAGUGAAGAAAAUAAUGGCUCAGUGGAGUCUAAGCUUGAUGACUCGGGUUUUGGAGAUGGGUAUUCGGAUUUAUUGAUAUGGGAGAGUCCUGCUGUUGUUAGCAUUGACGAUUUGAUAGCUUCUAGUGAUUCGGGUCUAAAUUUUCAGGCCUUAGGGGUUCCUCCUCUUCCCAAGAAUCGUAAUGCUGUUUGUGGGAAACAUAAGGAAGAAAUACUUCGUCAGCUUCGUGAACUAGCAAGGUUGGAACCUGACUCAAUUUGUGAAAACCCAGAAAGUAAGGCUAUUAGUUUGUUCCAGCCAUCAGCUGCUGGACUAAAUGUCCAUGAGCAAGAUAUAUGUACAGGUUUUGAGCCAGAUGCAAAGCCAAUUCCGUUCCCUGUUUAUGAGGAAAAUGUAUUUCACUGGAUUAGUGAUACUGGUGAGGCUGGAAAUCAAGUUUGUGAUCCUUCUCCAUUACUGAGAAGUAAGGAAAGUUCUGUUCUUCCUGACAAGCAGCCCAAUAUUGGUGGAAGUGUGAAUCGUGCCAAUGGAAGGGAAGAAGAGGAACCGCAAUUUCCUCUCUCUACUAGGAUGAUAUCAGUUUUUU
This 1154-nucleotide unclassified non-coding RNA is filed under the name Hevea brasiliensis (rubber tree). Lineage: Eukaryota; Viridiplantae; Streptophyta; Magnoliopsida; Malpighiales; Euphorbiaceae. The record is from RNAcentral.